UGGGCCUGAAAUCAGUUCGUAAUGUGUUAUGCAACAUAUUACUUUGCAACAAAAACAGUCUUCUUCCACAAGAGAAAUGAACAAAACCAAUACGCCAAAAAUCAAACCACACUUCUGUUUACAAUACUUGUUAUAUAACUAUAUAUUUAGCUAGUCCCAAGUGUUCUCUAGGACAAAAUACAAUUUAUCCCAUUUGUUGAAAGCAAUGUAAUUGUACAUCCAUGGAUGAAUUUGGCCAUGUGUCUGCUUUUACAGGAGAAAGCUAGUACAUCUUUCCCCUGCCUAACUAGAAUGAUCAUAAGUUUUAAAACGUGUACAUAGAGUUAUUCUGUAUUUAAAAAGCAUAGCCUUUUCACCAAGAUGAUGCUAGGUAGAAUACAGAGAGAAAGAGACAGAGAUCAUGCAAUUGCAACACAAAGUUAGUUACUGACUAUUGGUUUACUGACUCUUGAAGUUCAAAAGGCGCAGGUAACAUAUAGUAAUACCGUAUAACUGUUUCAUGGGCUUGGGAAGGCUACUUUUAGAUUUCAAGAAUUAUUGAUAAAGCAUCAAGCAAUUUUCAGUGUUACCACACUACGUAUUUCAAAAUUGUACAAAACAAAGCUGUCAAAAACAUGGCUUUUUUUCAGUUAGUGCUGAAAGAGUUAAAAAAUUGGAUGAUAGGAUGAGAAAAGACUCAUGAGAAAGCAGGAAGAGGAGGAAAAAGAGCCAGGUAAAAAAAUAGUAAGAAUUAAAAUAGGACAAUGCAGUAAGUACUCAAAUUCAGAAGUAUGUAGGUUGGAAGCUGGCCUUGAUAUCCCAACAUCUUAUGUGCCCCGACAUUCUUUCAAGUGCGUACUGGAGCUUUUCCAAGUUACAAAGUGACUGCUCCAGCAGAAUCAGCAGCAAUUAUACAAUGGAAUUCUUCAGACUCAAAAAUUCAUAAGUAACAAUAUAGAGUUAUUGUUUAAGCUACAAAAAAGGGAAAAAAAAUCUAGAUGCACCAUUUAUUUUGGGUUUCUGUUUAUGGAUUGGAGGGUUGGAACCUCAUUUUUUCCUCUAGCUUCUGUUGGAGGCGGUUGGCAUAAGGAAAAAUGAAAACUGCACUUCAAAAGAAAAGCUUCAAAGAGAACAUUUUAUGUAGCAGUAGAUGCCAAGGCAGCACUACCAUGGACCAAAUUCCUGUUUUCUGGUCCAUUUGUUGACAAACACUUGUUCUGAACACAACUGCAAGUUAUAAAAAUAGCGAAUGAAAUAUCCUAAUUUUUUUAAAAUAUGUUUUGGCAUGUUCUCUUUUGAAAGAAAAUUCCAAUUUCUUCAGGCUUCACUCAUUUCUAAUGCACCUCGCCACUGCCAUUUCUGCCGGUCUAAAACAACCAAAAAAAAAACAAAAACAAAAACCUGCAAGAAUGAGAAACCACCCCCACAAAAACAUAGUAAAUUCACUGCCUAUAAGGAGAAACUAGCAAUGUGUAGCAGAUAUGCCUCACCGGCACCCAGUCAGCCUAGCAAUAAAGUUCCUCAAACACCAGGAGCAGGAGUUGAAACUCCAAAGUUUCAAUGAAUAAAGUUGCUGAACAUUUCUCUCAAUUGUACUGUUCAGUGGAUCUGAAACCCUCAUAGCUGCUCACUAUGGCCUAUAUUAAGAGACAAUCUAUAUUUUUUCAGGACUUUAAUAAGUUCUCUAACAUCUCUUUUCCAAAUACUACUAGCAUCUCCAACAGCCUUUCAUUACAAGUUUUAAUUUCUCAUGGCUGAGUCCUGAACACAAAGUAAAGGACAAUUUUAAUCUCUGCUAAUGUACCUGGUGAGUUCAGUGGAAGAGAAAGGGAGGUCAGCAAAGGUAAAACUGGACUGUUCAGCAGCAAUCAAGUGGAAAGAUGGAAAGUGAUAUGUAAAUUUCAAUGGGAUUGAUUUUGCUAGAGUUUUUCCCUUCUCUGUGGUUAGAAGCAAGCAUUUAGGCUCAGAUUUAAAGUGUGCGUAAGAUACAUAUAAAGGUCAGUUCAACACUAACACUGAGUUGUGCAUUCCAGGAUCGUCUAACCUGCUUGGUCAUUGGUCUUCUUGUCAAUCUCACAUCUGCAACUACUAUAAACGGAGGCAAAGCCUAAUCCUGGGUGUUCUAGAGAAAGUUGAAGGUCCUACUUAAUUCUUAUUAAAAAUACAGUACCUAACCUGUGGAAGAAGUUUGCUCUCAGGGAUUACAUUCUGUUCUUCUGCAUUUAUUAGACACCACAAGAAAGAAUGCUUUGCAAGGCUCAUACAAGUAGAACUUCACAGAAUUUAAGGCCUGAAGGGACCAUUAGAUCAUCUAGUCUGACCUUCCGUACAAAACAGGUCAUUAAAUUUCACCCAACUAUCUUUGUAUUGAGCCCAAUAACUUGUGCUGCUACAGCAAAUCAGUCUUGAUUUGAGGACAUGGAGACAUGAAAAAUCCACCAUUUCCCUUGACAGUUUGUUAAAAACUUGUGCCUAAUUUCUAACGUGAAUUUCACUUCAGCUUCCAACCACUGGUUUUUAUUAUACUUUUCUCCGCUAGACUGAAGAACCCAUUAGUACCUGGUAUCUUCUCCCCAAAGGAGUAUUUUUAAACUGUAAUCAAGCCACCACUCGAUCUUCAUUUUGGUAAGCUGAACAGACUGAGCUCUUUAAGUCUCCCACUACCAGGCAUUCUUUCCAGCCCUUGAAUCAUUGUGGUUUUUUUCUCAACCAUCUCAAAUUUUUCAACAUCUUUUAAAAAGUGUGGAUAUCAGAACUGGAUACAGUAUUCCAAUAUUGGUCUCAUCAAUGCCAUAGACAUAGGUAUAUGCCACAGCAUUGCACUAGGAUCUCACGUUCAGUUGCCAUGACACCCAAUUUCUUUCCAGAGUGUCUGCUUUCCAGGAUACAGUCUACCAUUCUCUCUAGUGACCCCCAACUGAGCACCGCUACUGAAAAUCUCCGAUCUGUGGUGCAGGGACACACCGACACCUGAAGUGGAGCACCCAAAGGGACACACAUCUAGAAGAAUCCUCGUGACAACAUAAGGAGAAAAAAGAAAGUAUGACGACAUAUUUAGACACAAGACAUGGGAAGAGCCAAUGUGAUGACAAUGGAGAGACAUUUAAAUGUUUGGCAAAGUCACUUCGCAUGCCAAAGCAGAGACACAAGUCAUCCUGAAGCUGCUGUCAGACUAACCAGUGUAGAGACUGAAGACACUACUACAAAGCAGACAUCACCUAUCAAUCAAUAUGCCAAUUAAGCUAAUUGGACUUUUAACUACUUCACUGUCAUGUAACUCACAUUCUGGGAAUACUUGCUGGGAAGUAUACAUACUGGGAAUGAGCAUGAUCUGGAAGUCAGAGGACAGGACUGAAGUCAGGAAGAUUGCUUGGUUCUGCUACCAACUUGCUUUGUAACCUUGGAUAUGUCACUUACAUAAACUGAAAUACAGAAGUUAUCUGUAAAAGAGGGACACUACCUUACUGCCUCAUGGGAGCUUUAGGAGAUGCUUACACUUUGUAUAGCACUUUGUGAUCCUCUUAUUAUGGGCACUACAGAAUUGCAAAGUAUUAUUACCUGGACGCCAAUUAUGCUUCAACCAUGGAAUCUACAGAAAAAUUGACCCUUUAUCACAAAUGUGCUAAGAAUCUAAGCUUACAUUAAAAACAAGCUUCUCAUCCUUAUAGUUACAAAUAUAACUUUCAACUAUAACAGAGCAUAAACAAAUUAUGUGUCAUCUUCCAGACAGACAACCUGAAACAAUAACUCUGCAAGAUGUAAGCUAUACCAUUCAUCUCAUUGGAGGAUUAAGUCUGAAUCCUAAAGAUAAGAAUUUUUAUGUCAAGCAUUAACUGUUUCACUAUGAUAAUUUUAGCAGAAGCGUGCAGCUAGUGUACUGAUCCCACAAUACCAAACUGCUUCCCGUGCUUCUCCAGUGCAAAAAGGCUCACCGUACCCAACUGCUAGAACUGACAUUUCCCCUUCCCACUCCUGAUACUUUCUAUGAUGCAGCUGAGGUGUUGUCAGUACAAAAAAAAAUCUGGCAUACUGAAAACUGCAGAUGUUAAAAAAAAAAAAAGUAUAAAA
Caretta caretta (loggerhead turtle) is the source of this 4047-nucleotide non-coding RNA. NCBI's taxonomy places the organism in Eukaryota, Metazoa, Chordata, Testudines, Cheloniidae. The record is from RefSeq and is a predicted model, not a curated record.